UACGAAGGGUGCAAACGUUGCUCGGAAUUAUUGGGCGUAAAGCGCACGUAGGCGGCCUCGCAAGUCUGAUGUGAAAUCCCUCGGCUCAACCGAGGACGUGCAUCGGAAACUGCGGGGCUUGAGUACUGAAGAGGAUCGCGGAAUUCCCGGUGUAGAGGUGAAAUUCGUAGAUAUCGGGAGGAACACCAGUGGCGAAGGCGGCGAUCUGGGCAGAUACUGACGCUGAGGUGCGAAAGCGUGGGGAGCAAACAGG
RNAcentral lists this ribosomal RNA (253 nucleotides) under uncultured bacterium. RNAcentral describes it as "partial 16S ribosomal RNA". It matches the Rfam family "Bacterial small subunit ribosomal RNA", at positions 524 to 776 of the family's 1533-position model. The record is from RNAcentral.